This 15121-nucleotide long non-coding RNA is filed under the name Lynx pardinus (Iberian lynx). Lineage: Eukaryota; Metazoa; Chordata; Mammalia; Carnivora; Felidae. The record is from RNAcentral.
ACCAUGAUGAAGACGGAGCCGCGGGGGCCCGGGGGUCCCCUCCGGAGCGCCUCCCCGCACCGCAGCGCCUACGAGGCGGGCAUCCAGGCGCUGAAGCCGCCGGACGCGCCCGGGCCCGACGAGGCACCCAAGGCGGCCCACCACAAGAAAUAUGGCUCCAACGUCCACCGCAUCAAAAGUAUGUUCCUGCAGAUGGGCACGACGGCGGGGCCGCCGGGCGAGGCGGGCGGCGGCGCGGGCCCCACCGAGGCCCCGCGGGCGCCCGAGCGCGGCGUGCGCCUGUCGCUGCCGCGGGCCAGCAGCCUGAACGAGAACGUGGACCACAGCGCCCUGCUCAAGCUGGGCACCAGCGUGUCGGAGCGCGUGAGCCGCUUCGACUCCAAGCCCGCGCCCUCGGCGCAGCCCGCGCCGCCGCCGCACCCGCCGUCCCGGCUGCAGGAGACGCGGAAGCUGUUCGAACGGAGCGUCCCGGCGGCCGCGGGCGGCGACAAGGAGGCCGUGGCGCGGCGGCUGCUGAGGCAGGAGCGCGCCGGCCUGCAGGACCGGAAGCUGGACGUCGUGGUGCGCUUCAACGGCAGCACCGAGGCGCUGGACAAGCUGGACGCCGACGCCGUGUCGCCGACGGUCAGCCAGCUCAGCGCCGUUUUCGAGAAGGCCGACUCGAGGACCGGCCUCCACCGUGGGCCCGGGCUCCCCAGGGCCGCGGCCGCCGGGGUUCCCCAGGUCAACUCGAAGCUGGUCAGUAAGCGGUCCCGGGUGUUCCAGCAGCCGCCGCCGCCGCCGCCGCCCGCCCCGUCGGGGGAUGCACCGGCCGAGAAGGAACGCGGCCCUGGAGGGCAGCAGCCUCCGCAGCACCGAGUGGCCCCUGCCCGGCCGCCCCCCAAGCCCCGGGAGGUGCGCAAGAUUAAGCCCGUGGAGGUGGAGGAGAGCGGGGAGUCGGAGGCCGAGGCGGCGCCCGGGGAGGUGAUUCAGGCGGAGGUGACGGUCCACGCGGCCCUGGAGAAUGGCAGCACCUUGGCAACCACAGCCAGCCCCGCGCCCGAGGAGCAGAAGAAGGCCCAGGCGGCCCCGGAGGAGGCCACGGCGACCGUGGCUGCGCCUGAAAGAGGGGUGGGCAACGGCCGGGCCCCGGACGUGGCCCUCGAGGAGGCGGAUGAGUCCAAGAAGGAGGACUUCUCGGAGGCAGACUUGGUGGACGUGAGCGCCUACAGUGGGCUGGGGGAGGACUCUGGGGGCAGUGCCCUGGACGAGGACGACGAAGAAGACGAGGAGGAUGGGGAGCCCCCUUACGAGCCCGAGUCGGGGUGCGUGGAGAUCCCGGGGCUCUCGGAAGAAGAGGACCCGGCCCCGAGCCGGAAGAUCCAUUUCAGCACGGCGCCCAUCCAAGUAAGUGAGCCCCCCUCCCGCCCCCGCGCCGCCCCUGCCACGUGCACGCCGUCGCCCCCGCCUCGCCAAGCCGGGUUUGGCAGGCUGAGUCAGCCCCUGCCACCCAGCCCCCUUCCCAGAAGUUACCACCCUGAGGGGGGCGUGGGGGAGUUCCAGCUGUUUGUCAGAGGGGCACGAUUUUCAGGCCUGAGACAGGACGGCCUGCCCCGACCUGCCCUCAGGUUCCUCUGCCUGCUACCUCGCCCAGGCUCCGCCGCACCCGCAUCCUGGGACACCUGCUUUCCCUUCCUCUCCCAGACGCGCUUCCUCCGGAGGCUGCCUAAGGCUGGGACUUGGGGUGGUGGGGAGGUGUGCGUCUGUGUGUGUGUCCUCAGGAGACCCUCCCCACAUCGGUCCUUACUCUACUCUGGGCAGGAGAGGUGGGGGGAGCUUAGAAACACCCCCCCCCACCCCCACUUUUCCCCUAUAGAGGAGGGAGGAGCCAAGAACUUCCUAAAACGAAGGUGUAGGGGACCGCAGCCCUUCAUCCUGUCUGUAGCCCCCACCCCAAGUUUGCAGAAGUGAAAGAGGGAAGCAGGUCUAUGAGGGUGAGCUGGGCCGGGCCCAUGUGACUUGGGGUGGGGGAAAGGUCUGGCGCUGGGGCCCUGUUUCCUGGGGUCGGUGCUGGGCCAUCUGGGGAGGUGGAGGUGUUGGGUUCCACAGGGAGCAGGCACCUUGCCUGGCCCAUGAGGGGGCUGGGCCUUGGACUGGGCACGAAGAGAGGGGGUGGGGCUGGGAAAGCCCCCAGGAUGCCUGGCAGCUGCCCACAUGCCUUUGCUCUUGGCUGCUCAGUAGGACAGACUCUCAUGGCCUUGGCAAACUCCCAGUGCUCUUGCCACAUUCUCUGGGUGCCCUAAAAGAGGGAUGGGAGCUGCCCCUUUUGGGGGUCUCAGUCCCCCCCCUCCCCCCACUUCCCCACCAUCACUCUUGGUGAUUGGUUUGUGGCUUGUGCCAGUGUCCUGAGCUCCUCAGAACAGUGCCGAUGGGGUCUGCGUAGGGGGACAUCCCUGGGAAGAAUUAAGAGUCCCAGGUCACCACCCCCCACUUCCUGCCACCCUCCAAUCUUGGCUAGCACAUCCAGUCUAGAUGGCUCUUUCUCACCACCCCAGGCUCAGCUGUGCCCAGCACCAGGUCUGCUGCAGGGGGGUGUCCGGGCCCCUGUACUCUCCUAGGCCUGGACCCUGCCUUUACCCCUCCCCUGCCAAGCCCUCAUCUGUUUGCUUGAAGUUUCCAUAACUGCUCUUGGACACUGAAGCUGCCCAGGUUUCCUCCCACCCCUCCUAUCGACGGCUGCCCCUCUCCCACCUCCCCGCUCCCACCCCAGCAGAGGCCUGAAAGGUGCCACUCCAGCCACACCAUCCCUCCCCCCAUCUGGGGCUGCGACCUUACGUGUCCUUUCCCAGCCCUCCCCCUCCUGAGGGCGACAGGAUCCUGGAUGGUCUGGAAGGAAGAUUAUGGUGUUUCUUGGGACCCGAGGAGGAGGUGGGGACCACGGAGGGAGUCAGGACCCUCCCAUCCCCAACCAGUUCUCUGAGUGGCCUGAUCCCUUCAGAGGUGGAGUUUGGUUUUUCAGUCCUGGGCCUCUGACUGUCUAUAUUUGACACCUUACCCUGAUUUUUGGGUAAAAAAUAGCGCAUGAUUUGGAGCAGUGUUUCCCGACUCCCUGGUGACCGUCGCUCGCGGGAGUGUGGGAGCCAGUGGUCUGUGGUGCCGCCGUGGUAUGUGUGACUUUUGACCUUGCUGGGGAUUUCCUCCUCCCCACCCUGGGCAGUGGGUCCCUGUUUUUCCCCUUUCCCUGCCCCCACUCUGCACUGACACUGAUUGGAGGGUCUUGUGUCCUACUGAUGACCCGGUUGUUGCCUCUACGGAGGCUUCUGCUGAGGACAGAGAGCCUGAUUCCACAUGGCCAGUUGGGGGCGGGGGACUGGGCCUUCUGAUAGGCUCAGCACAUCGUGGUGGGCAAUGUGAGGGGUGGCCUGGGGCCUGGGGUGAGGGUCAAGGGACUCGUGCAAAAGUGGGCCAAAGCCGAUUUGCGAGGCCCGGGGGCAUGAGUGCAACGGGGACGAAGUCACGGGUGACCCACCUGCCAGGGCCCACCGGGUGGAGUCUCAUCCUGCCCGACCACUGGCCAACCCGAGUGACCUUAGCGGCAGACCUGGCAUCUUAUUCUGUCUGCAGACUGGGUGGCCCCUCCCUCCAGGGGGCUUGGAGGCCAGCGGCCAGAUGUCAGGGGGCCACUGCACAAUUGACGAUGAGCGUUAAGGGCCUGAGCUCGAGUUUCUCUGAUGCAGCGAAAUCGAGGGGAGUGAGUUAAGUGACCACAGGCCCCUCCCAGCUGCACUUCUAAUCCUAUGAAACCCCACCGUGGGAGCGAGGCUCCGGUGGGGAGUGGAGGAUGACACCGAGCGAGCCCGAACAAAGGCUGGGACACAAGUCUACUGCCCGCCAGGGUGCCCCUGGGCCUGCUCCUGGAGGAGAGAGGGCCCCGGCAGGGGCCUCGGGGGACACGGUGCUCCACUCCAGCUGCUCAGGCCUCAGGCCCAGCCGUCGGAUAGAGCUGCUCCCACCCUUCCUCGCCCCCGCUUAGCUCCAAGUGGUGCCAACCUGUCGCUGCAGGCAACGAAGCAUGAACGCGUCAUGGUACCCCAAAUGGUGCUCAUUAACCUCCCACUGGGGGUACCCCCGCCUGGACCCAGAAUUAGGCACUCCCACAGAGCCCCUGCCCUAGCUUCUCUGUUCUCUGGGGGAGGGUCGGAAUUCUCCUUCUCACAGAGAGCCACAGGAAGGAGACAGCAGAGGGUACAGGGGCCGACAAGGUAGGGCUGGCCUUGGGGCCUCCCUGCAGGCUGGCUGGGCUCACUGUGGACCACGUCAGAGAGGCUGCUGCCUGCCCGGGCUCCUUGUUGUCACCAGGGCCCUGAGCCUCUGGCCUGGGCCUCCUAGUGCACUGGGGAUAAGGGGCACGCCUCAGAGCUGCUUCUCUGGAGGGAAACUGAGGCCUGGCCAUGCAGGCAAGGCCACAUGGGCCUGGCGUUCUUCCCCCCACCCUUCCCACCUCCCGUCACCUGAGGGGCACCUCAAGUAGAGGGCUGCCCUUUCUCCAUGGGGCUGGGGUGAUCCUGCCUGCCUCCCUCCCCCACCCCAGCCUCAACUUCAAGUUCAGGUCAGCUGGGGCCUGGGGUCCUGGGUGCCUCUCUGUCCCAUUCUCUCCUCCUCCCUCCCCUCUCCCUGCGUCUCACACCCGCUCCCCCUUCUCUCCCCAUCUGGCAGCCUCCCAGAUCUUCUCCAUUCUUACUCCCCUCCUCCGCUUCCCCUCUGCUCCUGCUCAGCCUGUUCUUUCGACUCUCCCGGACUCUCCCGCUGCCGUCUGUGUCUGCCCUUGUCUGGCUCUCUGGGUCCUCCUCUGUCUCUUUCUGCCCCAGUCUGUUAGUCUGCCUCUGACCUGGCCUCCUGGCCUCCUGAGUCUGACGGUUUCUCCAGGGUUGCCCUUCCUUUCCUUCCACAGCAGCCAUGCUCAUGCCCAGCUGGGGCUGCAGGAGAGAGUGACGGUGUGGAUGGGGCGACGACGUCCCUUUGUCUCUCGCCCCGUGGACUCAAGCGCUAGCAGGCCCUUCCCUCCGAGCUGGGGUCAUCUUGGGGCUGGGGGAGGCCUGGAGCAGGCCAACGGGUGGCCUCAGCCGGCCCUGGCGGCCUCUCCGCACCAGCUCUGCCCUUGCCCUCUGACGAGCGGCCCCUCUGCAGGUGUUCAGUACCUACUCCAACGAGGACUACGACCGGCGCAACGAGGACGUGGAUCCCAUGGCCGCCUCCGCUGAGUACGAGCUAGAGAAGCGGGUAGAGAGGCUGGAGCUGUUCCCUGUGGAGCUGGAGAAGGGUGAGACACGGCCGCGGGGUGGGGGUGGGGGGUGUCUCCACUGGCGCCAGCUCUGCCCUGGGCCCUGGCGUGGGGUGGGGGUGGGGGGGCUUCCUCGGGGACUUUGGUGUCACCCCUGCCAGCGCCCCCGGCCACACGGACUCCAUUGCGGCCGGAGCUCCCACCACCGACCCUGUCCUGCCCCACUCUGUGCUCACUCAGCCCAGCUGCCAGGUCCCCGGGGGGGCGCUGGGGGCUGGGCUCUGGGCACUGUGUGGGCCUCGCGCUGAUGGGAGGCCAGCACUGAUGGGACACUCCCAGCCAACUGUGUCCUCACAGGCUGUCAUGGGUGCCGGGCAGGGAUGGGAGGGGCCGCCGUAACAGCAUGUAGACUCAGGUCAGUGGGGUCCCCGAGGAAGGAAUGCUUGCAUUGAGCUCUGAAGGUGGAGGUGGGGGGGUGGGUAGAACUCAGGAGAGCUUGCAGGAAAGAGAAAAGAGAGACUCGGCUAGAUUUUGAUCACGAGGGCAAGGGGGGUAUGUGGGGCCUCGUAGACCACGUGGAGGACAGGUGGUCCCCGUGGAUGGACCGGGAAACCGUGGCAGGGCAUGGGAAAGGUAUUUUAGAAAGACCACCACAGGCUGUGCUGUGGGGAGAAGGGUCAUAAGUGGAUGGGGAGAGACCACAGUGGUGUGGACCAGACGAUGGCUGUGUGGAAGUGGGUGCCUCCUUGCGAGGCAGAAUCUGCAGGAUCUAGAGGUUAUUUGGCCCUGGCUGAGGCCGUGAGGGGGGAGGGAGGAAUCCAGGUGACUCCCAGGCCCCAGGAGGGAGUGGCAGACGGGAAGAGCCUGUUUGUGGGGGAAGAUAAGAGUUUGGAUGUCAGGGGCCCGUGAGACAGGAGGGGGGGCAGCUGCGGAGAGCAAAGCGGGAAAUCCCCAGUCAUUGAGGCUGUGAGUAUGGGUGAGUCUGUGUAGAGGAGACCAACCCCAUCGUGGCCACCCCCACGCCAUCCCAUCCCUCUGCACCCCUCAUCUGCAUGCAGAAUUGUCUCUGGCCAACCCCCCGGGCCACCCUCGGCCUGCCUUGCUGCCCAGUGGUUCUUGGGGGUGGAGAGCACAGAGCAGGGAGUGACCCACGAGCCUCCUGGUUGGCUUGACAAAGAGAGCGGAGAGAACGGUGUCCCUUCCCUAGUUGCGGACAUCCCCUGAGUGCGGGGCCUGCUGCUCGGGGUCGGGCCGUGCCCUGGGGUGAGGUUGGAGACUGGGGUGGGGGGGACGUCUCUCUCUCUCUGUCCCCCUGCAAGCCCUGGCUGGAACGCCUCACCCCACCCCCACCUCCCAACACCAGCCUCUCACGACUUUUUGCUCCACAGACUCUGAGGGCCUGGGCAUCAGCAUCAUCGGUAUGGGGGCCGGGGCGGACAUGGGCCUGGAGAAGCUGGGCAUCUUCGUGAAGACCGUGACCGAGGGUGGUGCAGCCCAUCGGGACGGCAGGUACCGCCUCCCCCUCCCCCACUGGCUGCCAGCCGCGGGGCGGGCCACUGUUUGUGUGGGGCUCAGGUAUUCCUGGAGCCUUACUGUGCUAGAUGCUGGUCCAGGGGGUACAGCGCCGAACACAACUGAUGGGACCCCUGCCCUCAAGGCACUUACAUUCUUUGGAGGGGGGCUGCACGGAGGCAUCGUACGUCCUGGCUUUCGGUGUGUGUUGGACCGCGGUAGGGAGAGCACAGGCGUGGAGGUUGUGUUCCUGGCGGAGACCUCUGAGCUUUUUGAUUUUCACUUAGCAAAUACCGAGUCUCUGGCUCUGUGGGCGGGGCUGGAGCCAGCCCUGGGGUGUCAGUGAUGAGGGCCUUGCCCUCAAGAAGCAUGCGGUAUGUUGAGGCAGACGGGCAUCCAAGUGGACGCACAGAAACCACGGGAAAAGUAGCACAGGGGUGCCACGAAGGCAUCAAAAGGAGGACUUGUUCUCUCUGGCUCGCAGGGAAGGCUUCCUGGAGGAAGUGACAUUGGAGCUGAGACCUGAAGGAUGAGCAGGAGUUAGCCAGGCUGAGGGAGUAGAAUGUGCAGCAGGUUCCAGGAAGGGGACUGAAAGCAGGCGGGUGUGGCGGGAGCAUAGCAAGCAAGGGGGAUCCAGGUGCGUGGUGUGGCUAGAAAGACUGGUGGGCCGUGCCUGGAGGGGAGACGCUCCUUGUGUGCGUGCGUGUGCAUGUGUGUGCAUGGGUGCUCUGCUUGGCGUCUGAAGCUGGAGGGGUCAGAAGGUUCAGGGAGGGCCUCCUGGAGCCCCAGGCAGCCCAGUGACCCCACUGUGGGCCCCUCCACUAUGUGUGUGUAUCGCAGGGGGGAAGUGGGACGGGCUUUAGGGUGUCCCCGGGGUUGUCGGAAGUUGGAGGUUGAUAAUCAGGGGUGCCUUGUGGUGGUACCUCCCAACCCGGACCCCCUCAGUGUGACAGAGGUGAAUGGGUGUCCCUGUGAGGGCUGGGUGACUUGGGGUCAUGUUGCUGGAGCUUGGGUUGCCUCAUUCAGGGUGCUGCUGCCUGCUGUGGCCCUGGGAGCUCGGGGGGCAGACAAAAGGAAGGUGACGGUCUCCGCCCUUUCCCUUACCCCCUCAUUUGAAUUUCCAGAGCCUUCCCUGUGGUCCUCCGUUGGUGGUGUGGGAAGUGUGUGCCCAUGUUGAGUGUGGCCACACGUGGGGCGUGCGGGGGUGAGCUCUUCACAAUAGGCCAUUUCCUCCAUUUCCGCAUAGGAGGCCGGGGAGAAGGCCUGGAGCUUGCAGGGAGGUGGGAGUGGAGGAAGGAGGUGGCCAAGGGUCCCGCCAGUCCCUUCGUCCCCCUCGGCAGGCUGGGCCGGACACCCCCGUCUCUCUCCUUGCGCCGAGAAGCAGGGCCCCUCGUGCCACACCGAGAACGUGGUGGGGGCUGUGUCCCCGUAUGAGGGUGCCGUGAGCCUACGGGCCAGCACGUGAGCACUGCAGUUUGCUCCGCUACAUGGGUCUCGGGCAUUUGGGAGCCACUCGGCAGACCCGGGUCUGUAGACGUGGACUUAGAAGCGGACCGUGUGUCACCUGUGCUUCGGGCCUCCGCCGGCGUCCGUGGUGGUAAUGAACUCUGGAUGCUCUACACCCGCUCUGUCGGGUGUGACGGAGGAGGGACAGGGGUGUGAUUGUCGCAGGACGUGUGCCUGCCACCACUCCUGGUCCUGCGUGCCCGUGUCUGCUUUGCCUGCCCGGGUCUCCCUGCCCGCUGGUGAGUCUGGGACGAUACGGGAUGCUCUGGCCUCAUGCGUUUUAUGCAAGUAGACAAAGUACCAGGGCCCAGCGGGGACUGAGCCUCAAGUUUCGGAUGGGAGGGGGACCACCUCUACCUCAGCUCCGGUUCCCCGGUGACCCCCGCUGACCAGUGUGGCCUCUCCCAGGAUCCAAGUGAAUGAUCUCCUUGUGGAGGUGGAUGGCACGAGUCUGGUGGGAGUGACCCAGAGCUUUGCAGCCUCCGUGCUCCGGAACACCAAGGGUCGAGUGCGGUAAGGGCCCGGAGCAGGGGGGGCUGGGUGGGGGAGGUGGGAGCGGACGGGAGGUUUGGCCCUCAUCCCGGCACUCAGCCCACCUGGCCGUACCCAGGUAAGGUUCUGGGCAGCCCGCCUUAUUUUUUUUUUUUAAUUAAAGUUUAUUUUUAUUUAUUUUGAGAGCGAGAGAGCAAGCGGGGGAGGGACAGAGAGAAAGAAUCCCAAGCAGGCUCUGCCCUGUCCGUGCAGAGCCCGGUGUAGGGCUCGAACACACGGACCCUGAGAUCGUGACCUGAGCCGACUCCAAGAGUCAGAUGAUUAACCGACCGACCGAGCCACUGGGCGGCUCACCACACAGAGGAGCUUUCAUGGCCUCCCUCCCCAAAGGAAUUGCUGUGCCCGUAUCCCUACCCUACGCCUGCCGUCCUCUCCCAAGCCCCUGAGUACUGCUGGCCACCAGCACAGGCUUCAAGGCCUAUGGCCCGCUGCACCUCCAAACUGGCCUCUUGGACUUAUUCUUCCCCUGCUUGUCCGUGACUAACUCACCAAAGAACCAAGAUGUGCAGGGAGAAUGCCAUCCAAAUUGGAGUCUCCCCCACCGGGCACCUACCCCAUCCUUCUCUCUCACCCACUGUGUAAUCCUGGCCGACUCUCCUCCCCGGGCCUGUCGGUGAAGGGAGCUGGGCUAGGAGCUCCUUACGUCCCUCUCUGGCAUAACAUUCGGGGACCACUCCCUGCCCCCUCCAAGAGGGGCACUGCCCCCAGGAAAGGGUGGUGGACAGAAACAGGAUGUGGGUGGCCACGGAGAGGAGGGGCUGGUGCCUGGAAGUUCCACUACUUCCUCUCCAUCCCAAUCUCCACUCACCAUCGUCCCGCCCCUUCCUGAAGCUUGGGGGCUUGGAGCUCACACAAGGCACACCCCCACAGCCCCAGGGCAGGGGAGUGGGGAAGCCGGCUGCUGGGAUGGGUCAGGGCCCCGAUUUCUCCCCCGGUGGUGGAGGAAGAGCCCCCUGCCCAGGCGGCUUCUGAGCUCCUGUCCCCUGCAGCCCAGCAGGGGGUUUGGCUGACAUCACCCCUCCCCCAAAACUGGCCGCGAGGGUUAGCGGGCCUUCUGCCUCUCUGGGGAAGGAAACCCAAGAAGGGCCCCCAGCUCCCCCAUUCAUUAUUAACACUCCACGGCCUCUGGACUCAACCCUCUCAUUUCACCUCCCUUGGGAGGGUCCGGGGGGCGGAGGUGGUGCGCCAGCGGGGAGGAUGGUGGCAUCACCCAGUCGAAGACAGAGGCGAAGGCAUGACGCUAGUGCCCCUGCAGAUUUAUGAUUGGCCGGGAGCGGCCAGGCGAGCAGAGUGAGGUGGCCCAGCUAAUUCAGCAGACCCUGGAACAGGAGCGAUGGCAGCGGGAGAUGAUGGAGCAGAGAUACGCCCAGUACGGGGAGGACGACGAGGAGGUAGGGACUGCCGGCCUGGCCGGUGGCAUCAUCGCCCCCUGGUGGCUGGAUGGAGCAUUACAACCAUCCUCUGACCCUGCUUUCCCAGGCCUUGUGAAGAAGGCGGGCGCACACCAGUCCCUAUCCUGGGGGAGUCCCCAGACGGAGGGAGGACAUGCAGACCCUUCCUUCAAAGAACACUUAGUCUUCUGGAAGGGGUCACACUUUCUGUCUUCAGAGACCCUUCCUGCUCCUACAAGGAAAACACAGUUCCUUCAAAGAGUCCCUACUCUGAGGGGAAGGCAUACAUAGCCUCUACCCUCAGGGGACCUAAUCUAAGGAAGGAGAUGGGGCUCCAGACCUCAGGGGACCCAUGGAGUGAAGGGAAAAGCACAGGCUGUUUCUUCAGGGCUCCCAGUCUUACAGGGGAACUACCUGGGCCUUCAGGGGACUCCCCAGGCUGCUGGGGGCAGACGCAAACCACGCCCACUGGCGUAGCCCCAGUCUGAUGGGGGAGGCAUGAACCACACCCCCGGGUAGCCCCCCAGUCUGACUUGGGCAGACCGUUGCCAGUCUAAGCCCCGCUCAUCAGGGCUGAGGGAGGCCGGGGUGGACAGGAUGUGCAGUCGCCUCUCUCCCUUCGCAGACAGGAGAAUAUGCCACCGACGAGGAUGAGGAGCUCAGCCCCACGUUUCCAGGGGGCGAGAUGGCCAUCGAGGUGUUCGAGCUGGCGGAAAACGAGGACGCCUUGUCCCCCGUGGACAUGGAGCCCGAGAAGCUGGUGCACAAGUUCAAGGAGGUGGGAAGAAGGGGGGGGGCGGUCCCUGGGCUGGUGGCGGGCAAAGGCAGGCCAUUAUCCCUCCCAACAGCACGGCCAACUCCAGCCGGAGCUGAGCAUCUGCCUCUCUGCCCCCACAGCUCCAGAUCAAGCACGCUGUGACUGAGGCAGAGAUCCAGCAGCUAAAAAGGAAGGUAAGAGCAUGGCAGGGGGAGUGGGGUCACUCACCGAGAUCUCUAGGGACGCCCCCUCGGUGUGGACAUCGAGACACUGGACUCGGGCUUCACGUGACCGUAUACGCAGGUGCGUCAGCCUGCAUAGGUACACCCUCGGCAUCCGUCUCCGAGACACAGAGACACGACCCUCCCUCGGGAAGAGGGUCACAGGACGCGUGCAUUCUCGCAGCCAGUUAGAGGCCCUGGUGGUGUCCUUGGGGGCGUGGUGACCAGGGCUGCCCAGAGUGCCGGCAGAGGGUAUGGAUAGGAAGGACGGGUUGGGGCUGCAUCUCUGAGGUGGAGAUGAUGGGCCACACCCCAUGCAGAGCAUGAAAGCGAGUCAAAGGUCUGUGCGUGCGUUCAAUCUGUAAAAGCCUAUAAGGCACCUUCUAAGUGCCCAGCACUGUUCCGGUCCCCGUGGUGGGCAGAAGCAGAUUUGAUGCCUGCCCUUGUGCACAGUGACGUCUGUGUCCUUACCAACUGACACGGGGCUCUGUAGGAGGAGAGUACAGGGGUGCCGAGCACCUAGAGCAGGGGAACCUGAUCCAGCCCGAGUGUGUGUAGGGGCGGGUGGGCGCGGGGGGCAGAGCUGUUGGAGGGAAUCACAGGAGACUUCUGUGGGGAAGUGACACACUGAGCAGAGAGCCAACGAGUAAGCUAGGGGGAGAUAAUGGGGCAAGAGGGAGAGGAGGUGGGGGGGUGCAUUCUAGGCAGAGGGAACGGCACGGGCAAGGGCCCUGUGGCAAGAGGGAACGUGGCAAGUCUGAGGAUCUCCAAGAAGGCCCAAGCGGCUGGGGUACGGACAGCAGGUGGCAUUUGCCACCAGCAAGGCUGGAGGGGGAGGCAGGGGCUUGAGGCUGAGCGCUGGCGUGGCAGUGAGACCGCGGAAAGGAGGACUAGAUUUGUGCGGGUGGGGUGACCGUGAGAAGCGGGAGACAAGGUGGCAGAGGAGCCGGGAUUGUUCAGGAAGCCACUGAAGCAGGGACUGGUCAGCAGGGCCAGAGCUGCGGAGGGGACAGAGGGCGAUGGCGACCCUCACUGGCCCUGCUCUUUUACACCUACCCUCUUCCUGUGGCCCUGUGAGCUUGGCAAGGCAGGAAGCAGUCCCAUUUCACAGAUGGGAGGCCGGAGGCUUAAGACAGAAGUUGCCUUGCCGCAGGUCACAGAGCUGGUCAGUGACUGACCCGGGCCUCUGGCCCGCGAGGCGCGUGCACGGCGCAGGGGCCCUGGCUGGGGGCUCUGAGGCUGAGCUCCCGCCUCUCCCCACUCCGGGCUCUGGUUCUCAGGCUCGGCCAAGGAGAGUUACUAGUUGGGGGGCAGCGGGCUUCACACCUGCAGGCGUCCUCCAGAGACUGGCCCCGGGGCCAGGAUGGGGGCGCUCCUCGGCUGCCUCUGGCCCGCACCAAUCCAUGGCUGUUCCUUCCUCAGCUACAGAGCCUGGAGCAGGAGAAGGGGCGGUGGCGGGUGGAGAAGGCCCAGCUGGAGCAGAGCGUGGAGGAGAACAAGGAGCGCAUGGAGAAGCUGGAGGGCUACUGGGGGGAGGCCCAGAGCCUGUGCCAGGCUGUGGACGAGCACCUGCGGGAGACCCAGGCCCAGUACCAGGCCCUGGAGCGCAAGUACAGCAAGGCCAAACGCCUCAUCAAAGACUACCAGCAGAAGUACGUGGCCAGGGCACUAGGAGCAGGGGGUGGGGGUGGGGGGCGGGUCCUGGCCCAGGGUGGACUGAGAGAGGCCUCUGGUGGUAGAACCUCCCCACCGCCACCUGAGUAGAGAGGCAAAGAGCACAGAAGUUGGAGGGCGCCCUGGUGAGGGUGCCUGAGCCCAGGAUGACUGGCCACCGGGGCCAGCACAGGCCCCAGAAGCUUUGGAAAGACCUGGGGCCUCCCGACCUAAGAACAGGGGGAGAGAGAGAGAGAGAGAGAGAGAGCGCGAGCGAGAGAGCGAGAGCUGCUCAGGUGGGGCUAAGGACAGGGCUGAGGGCCCUGAGACUCCUUGGAUGGCAGUCAGACCACACACCCUCACCCAUGGGCUGCCCCCUGCUGACCCCUAGGGAGAUCGAGUUCCUGAAAAAGGAGACUGCACAGCGCCGGGUUCUGGAAGAGUCAGAGCUGGCUAGGAAGGAGGAAAUGGACAAGCUCCUGGACAAGGUAGGCCCAGGGGUGCGCUGGGGGAGGGGACAGCAGGUAGACCCCUCCUCUCAGGCUCCCUGUGGAUCCUGGAGGGAGACAGAGUCGUGUUGCUGGCUCGGGGUCCUGCCACCACCAGGGUGUGCAGAGGGGCAGGGCCUGUGCCUGGUAUCAGGCCUGACCCCUCUCCCUUUUGUUUGCCAGAUCUCAGAACUGGAAGGAAACCUGCAAUCACUGAGGAAUUCCAACUCUACUUAACAGGAAUCACUCCUUGACGGGACAAUAAUUAAUCCCCUCCCAUUGUCCUCCCUCCCCUGUCCUCAAUACUUCACCCCGCCCCCUACCAGCCUGGGGACAGGUGCCCCGACUCCCCCACCCUCCGCCCCACCUCCCCCAGCUUCAGGGACCAGAGGGCCUGGGCAGACAGAGGUGGCUGGAAGAACGGCCUCUUGCUCGCCCUGCGGGGCUGAGGCACGGAGGCCCAGGGAUGCCGAGGGUUUGGCCUGGGUGGUGGAUGGACACAAGGACCUGCAGACCAUACUGCCAGACUUUACAACCUCCAGCCUUUGUCUCUGGACUGGAAUGGGGCUGGGGGCUCUCCCAGCAUCUCACCACCUGGAGGCUGCUCCCUGCCCACGGGGCUCCUACGUGGCCCCUGGGCCUCUUGACUUGAGAUUCUACCUUCUUGGCCCCUUUCCCCAUCCCCCAUCAUUGUGCUGUCUCUGUUGCAUUCUGACCCUCCUGCUGGGAGGGGUUGCCUCCACGCCUCCUCCUCCCAUCCUGGUCCCUCCUCCCAGGAGGGACAGAGUCCACCCUGGAGCCUGGAGGCUGGGACUGGCCCUGCACUGAUUUCUCAUGCAUCCUUUGGGAAAAGGGGAGAGUCCAGGACACCUGGUCCCCAGCUCCCCCUUCCCUGGGGCAGCAGCCCUCAAUUUUUCCUUGUGCCUCCCGACCCCUAGGUGCCAAAUAGCCAUAACCUCCUCCUGGAACUGUUCUGUGGCCUCUCUGGGCUCCGAGUUUCCUGGCCGAGCCUGGGAAUACCAGGGAGGAGAGGUCAGCUUAGGGGGCCUGGCUGCAGCUUAGGCAAGGCGAACAUUUCCCACCCACCCACCGGAGAGCCAGGCCCUGCCCUGCCCAGGGCCACACCUGGAAGCCUUGUACUAACAUCGCAAAUUCCGCCUCGCUCCACCCACGCCCACAGUUUUCCAAUGUUUUGACCGGAGGGCAAAAUUUUACUACUACUCAUCUUUUUGGAGACCAGGGCUGCCCUGCUGGCAGCCUGCUUUCUAAGUGAAAUCCACUCCGUUUCCCCACUCUAACCCCAAAUUGGGGAUUGGACCAAGGGAGGUGAGACCCACCCCCACCCCCACCCCCAGGUCCCCUCCUCUUUUCAGGAUCCACCUCUCAUUCUGCCUCUUCCUCAUGCCCCUGCCCCAGACUGGAUUUUUGUUCAUUUUUUAAAAACAGACAACCCCCAUCACAUCCGUUUGGGCUUCUCGACCCCUGUAAAUAGACCACGCCAUCGAUCAGUAUUUCUCGCCACCCCCCCUUGCCCCCAAGACGUGCCCCUACCCCCUGAAAGAGCUGGCUGUCUCAGUGCCCAGACCUACGCACUUCUCCUUCGCCCCGGCAGAUGGAGUGGGCGGGGCCGCGGGGCGCUUCCGGUUUCUCCAACCGGCACCGCCCCCGCCCCGCCCCCCCGCAGGACUGCGUCUCUGUAUAUAAUAUAUAUAUGUAUGUAUUGUUCCCGGUUUUGUACGGACCAUGCCCUCUGUCAAGUCGCCCCCAUAAAAGCAGCCCCC